AACGAACGCUGGCGGCAGGCCUAACACAUGCAAGUCGAGCGAACCCUUCGGGGUUAGCGGCGGACGGGUUAGUAACGCGUGGGAAUAUACCCUUUGGUACGGAAUAGCCUCGGGAAACUGAGAGUAAUACCGUAUGUGCCCUUCGGGGGAAAGAUUUAUCGCCAAAGGAUUAGCCCGCGUUGGAUUAGGUAGUUGGUGGGGUAAUGGCCUACCAAGCCUACGAUCCAUAGCUGGUUUGAGAGGAUGAUCAGCAACACUGGGACUGAGACACGGCCCAGACUCCUACGGGAGGCAGCAGUGGGGAAUCUUAGACAAUGGGCGCAAGCCUGAUCUAGCCAUGCCGCGUGGACGAUGAAGGCCUUAGGGUUGUAAAGUCCUUUCAGAUGGGAAGAUAAUGACGGUACCAUCAGAAGAAGCCCCGGCUAACUCCGUGCCAGCAGCCGCGGAAAGUAUCGUACG
RNAcentral lists this ribosomal RNA (459 nucleotides) under uncultured bacterium. Its description in RNAcentral is "bacterial SSU rRNA". It matches the Rfam family "Bacterial small subunit ribosomal RNA", at positions 29 to 531 of the family's 1533-position model. The record is from RNAcentral.